AAAGAGUGAAUAAUGUCUCCCCAAUUGUGGGGAGAUACUGUAGCAAAAGGUUGAAUAGGAAGGAAAAUAGGUGGCUGUUGAACUUAUUUUUUUUUCAUUCUUCACGUUUUAAUUUGUCUAAAAGGUUGUGUGGGAGGCGGGUGGUGAUGCUCUUAAAAAUUCAUUUCAAUGGUUACACCAUGUCAUCAUUGUACUACAAUUUAAUUAUAAAUUGUCAUAUUUAUAUAAUAAACGCCAUUAGAUUAAUAU
This 249-nucleotide long non-coding RNA is filed under the name Actinidia chinensis (golden kiwifruit). RNAcentral describes it as "long non-coding RNA (ACHI_LNC004838)". Lineage: Eukaryota; Viridiplantae; Streptophyta; Magnoliopsida; Ericales; Actinidiaceae. The record is from RNAcentral.